This 279-nucleotide ribosomal RNA is filed under the name uncultured bacterium. RNAcentral describes it as "partial 16S ribosomal RNA". It matches the Rfam family "Bacterial small subunit ribosomal RNA", at positions 506 to 784 of the family's 1533-position model. The record is from RNAcentral.
UGCCAGCCGCCGCGGUAAUACGAAGGGGGCGAGCGUUGUUCGGAAUUACUGGGCGCAAAGGGCGCGCAGGCGGUUUAUCAAGUUAGGUGUGAAAUCCCCGGGCUUAACCUGGGAACUGCACUUGAUACUGAUAAGCUAGAAAACGGAAGAGGAGAGUGGAAUUCCCAGUGUAGAGGUGAAAUUCGUAGAUAUUGGGAAGAACACCAGUGGCGAAAGCGGCUCUCUGGUCCGAUUUUGACGCUGAGGCGCGAAAGCGUGGGGAGCAAACAGGAUUAGAUA